Molecule: ribosomal RNA, 433 nt
Filed under: uncultured bacterium
Lineage: Bacteria
Description: partial 16S ribosomal RNA
Rfam family: Bacterial small subunit ribosomal RNA
Source: RNAcentral
AACGAACGCUGGCGGCAUGCCUAACACAUGCAAGUCGAACGAGACCUUCGGGUCUAGUGGCGCACGGGUGCGUCACGCAUGGGAACAUGCCCUUAGGUUCGGAAUAAUUCCCCGAAGGGGGUGCUAAUACCGGAUAAUUUCUUCGGACCAAAGAUUUAUCGCCUUUGGAUGGGCCCGCGUUGGAUUGACUAGUUGGUAGGGUAAAAGCCUACCACGAAUGCGAUCCAUAGCUGGUCUGAGAGGAUGCACGGCCACACUGGGACUGUGACACGGCCCAGACUCUUACGGGAAGGAGCUGUGUGAAAUAUUGGACGAUGGGCGAAAGACUGAUACAGCUGUGGCGCGUGAGUAAUUUAGGCCUUAGGAUUGUAAAGCUCUUUUAUCCGGGAGGGUACUGGCAGUACCGGGAGAAUAAGGCCCGGCUAACUCCGUG